CAGCUGCUGCAGGAGUGGUGGUGGUGACAGCUGCUGCAGGAGUGGUGGUGGUGACAGCUGCUGCAGGAGUGGUGGUAGUGACAGCUGCUGCAGGACUGGUGUUAGUGACAGCUGCUGCAGGAGUGGUGGUAGUGACAGCUGCUGCAGGAGUGGUGGUGGUGACAGCUCCUGCAGGAGUGGUGGUAGUGACAGCUGCUGCAGGAGUGGUGGUGGUGACAGCUGCUGCAGGAGUGGUGGUAGUGACAGCUGCUGCAGGAGUGGUGGUGGUGACAGCUGCUGCAGGAGUGGUGGUGGUGACAGCUGCUGCAGGAGUGGUGGUGGUGACAGCUGCUGCAGGAGUGGUGGUGGUGACAGCUGCUGCAGGAGUGGUGGUGGUGACAGCUGCUGCAGGAGUGGUGGUGGUGACAGCUGCUGCAGGAGUGGUGGUGGUGACAGCUGCUGGAGGAGUGGUGGUGGUACCAGCUGCUGCAGGAGUGGUGGUGGUACCAGCUGCUGGAGGAGUGGUGGUGGUACCAGCUGCUGGAGGAGUGGUGGUGGUACCAGCUGCUGGAGGAGUGGUGGUGGUACCAGCUGCUGGAGGACUGGUGGUGGUGACAGCUGCUGGAGUGGUGGUGGUACCAGCUGCUGGAGGAGUGGUGGUGGUAACAGCUGCUGCAGGAGUGGUGGUGGUGACUGCUGCUACUGGAGUGGUGGUGGUGACAGCUGCUGCAGGAGUGGUGGUGGUGACAGCUGCUGCAGGAGUGGUGGUAGUGACAGCUGCUGGAGGAGUGGUGGUGGUGACAGCGGCUGCAGGGGUGGUGGUGGUGACAGCUGCUGCAGGGGUGGUGGUGGUGACAGCUGCUGCAGGGGCGGUAGUGGUGAGAGGUGCUGCAUGAGUGGUGGUGGUGAGAGGUGCUGCAGGGGCGGUGGUGGUGAGAGGUGCUGCAUGAGUGGUGGUGGUGACAGCUGCUGCAGGGAGGGUGGUGGUGACAGCUGCUGCAGGGGCGGUAGUGGUGAGAGGUGCUGCAGAAGUGGUGGUGAGAGGUGCUGCAGGGGCGGUAGUAGUGAGAGGUGCUGCAUGAGUGGUGGUGGUGACAGCUGCUGCAGGGGGUAGUGGUGAGAGGUGCUGCAGGGGCAGUGGUGGUGACAGCUGCUGCAGGGGCGGUGGUGGUGAGAGGUGCUGCAGGGGCGGUAGUAGUGAGAGGUGCUGCAUGAGUGGUGGUGGUGACAGCUGCUGCAGGGGCGGUAGUGGUGAGAGGUGCUGCAGAAGUGGUGGUGAGAGGUGCUGCAGGGGCGGUAGUAGUGAGAGGUGCUGCAUGAGUGGUGGUGGUGACAGCUGCUGCAGGGGCGGUAGUGGUGAGAGGUGCUGCAGGGGCGGUGGUGGUGAGAGGUGCUGCAGGAGUGGUGGUGGUGACAGCUGCUGCAGGGGCGGUAGUGGUGAGAGGUGCUGCAGAAGUGGUG
Oncorhynchus tshawytscha (Chinook salmon) is the source of this 1440-nucleotide long non-coding RNA. NCBI's taxonomy places the organism in Eukaryota, Metazoa, Chordata, Actinopteri, Salmoniformes, Salmonidae. The record is from Ensembl.